CCUACGGGUGGCAGCAGUGGGGAAUAUUGGACAAUGGGCGAAAGCCUGAUCCAGCCAUGCCGCGUGUGUGAAGAAGGCCUUCGGGUUGUAAAGCACUUUCAGUGGGGAAGAAAGCCUUGGGGCUAAUACCCUCGAGGAAGGACAUCGCCCACAGAAGAAGCACCGGCUAACUCCGUGCCAGCAGCCGCGGUAAUACGGAGGGUGCGAGCGUUAAUCGGAAUUACUGGGCGUAAAGCGCGCGUAGGCGGUCUGAUAAGCCGGUUGUGAAAGCCCCGGGCUCAACCUGGGAACGGCAUCCGGAACUGUCAGGCUAGAGUGCAGGAGAGGAAGGUAGAAUUCCCGGUGUAGCGGUGAAAUGCGUAGAGAUCGGGAGGAAUACCAGUGGCGAAGGCGGCCUUCUGGACUGACACUGACGCUGAGGUGCGAAAGCGUGGGUAGCAAACAGGAUUAGAUACCCUGGUAGUC
RNAcentral lists this ribosomal RNA (465 nucleotides) under Vreelandella stevensii. Its description in RNAcentral is "partial 16S ribosomal RNA". It matches the Rfam family "Bacterial small subunit ribosomal RNA", at positions 338 to 795 of the family's 1533-position model. Lineage: Bacteria; Pseudomonadati; Pseudomonadota; Gammaproteobacteria; Oceanospirillales; Halomonadaceae. The record is from RNAcentral.